This 571-nucleotide non-coding RNA is filed under the name Pongo abelii (Sumatran orangutan). Lineage: Eukaryota; Metazoa; Chordata; Mammalia; Primates; Hominidae. The record is from RNAcentral.
GGAAACCGAGAUGCACAGAAGUUACAAACAUUGGAUCAGGCCACACAGCUGGAAGCCCAGAUGAGCAGGAAGACACGCCCUCGGGGCUGGAGAUGUGCACACCUGGGGAAGGAGGUGCACAGCCAGCACCUCCCCAUCGCCCACUUCCCAGCCUGCCUCCUCAGUUCCUCCUCAAAGUCAGCUUUGCUGCAGCCCACCUCCCACCCAGGACCGGCCCCAAGGCCCUUCUAGAUAACCUCGAAAGGAUCUCCGGCACUGAAGUCGAAGGAGAGGAUGAGCUUGCUACCUGGAGCCUUCAUCUGUUACUGGAAAGGGGUCCUGAUCCAGACCCCAAGAAAGGGUUCUUGGAUCUCACACAAGAAAGAAUUCAGGAAUGACUAGUGCUCUUCUAAGAAGAGGGGAUUAGAACAUAGACACACAUGGAGCAAAGACCAUACGAGGAUGCAGCAAGAAGGUGGCUGUCUGCAAAUCGCAGAGAGAGGCCUCAGAAAGAACCCAUCCCACAGACACCUUGAUUUUGGACUUCCAGCCUUGAGAAUUGUGAGAAAAUAAAUGUCUGUUGUUUAAGUCA